UUGCACUAUUAGUAUUAAGUUUGGAUGAUAUAUAAAAAUCAUUAUAUAUUAAAUCUCAGGUCUGUAUUACUUUGCUUGACUAGAUUUUUUUUUUUUUUUUUUAAUUUAGCCCAUGAGAACUCUGCAUUGCCCUGCUCGUGGUGCAUUUGGGGCCUUCCCUCCUCUUACUAUGGUUCUGGCAUCCUUCCCUUCAAAAAGAAAAGGAUAUCUCUCUUGAAAGGAAGAAAAUAAGAUGCUAGAAAACAUGGAAUGGAAAUUGUUACUACAAAGCAGGAAGACUGCCCAUGUUGCAACUAUUAGAGAACCAUUUUGAUGCUCCAUGGCUUCAAGUGAGUACUGACUCUAUAAAGGGACAUAAAUCCUGAAAAUACACAGAACUUG
RNAcentral lists this long non-coding RNA (381 nucleotides) under Mustela putorius furo (domestic ferret). Its description in RNAcentral is "lncRNA (ENSMPUG00000032039.1)". The record is from RNAcentral. Lineage: Eukaryota; Metazoa; Chordata; Mammalia; Carnivora; Mustelidae.